AGUAACACGUGGAUAGCCUACCUAUAAGACUUGGAUAACUUCGGGAAACCGGAGCUAAUACCGGAUAAUAUUUUGAACCGCAUGGUUCAAAAGUGAAAGACGGUCUUGCUGUCACUUAUAGAUGGAUCCGCGCUGCAUUAGCUAGUUGGUAAGGUAACGGCUUACCAAGGCAACGAUGCAUAGCCGACCUGAGAGGGUGAUCGGCCACACUGGAACUGAGACACGGUCCAG
RNAcentral lists this ribosomal RNA (231 nucleotides) under uncultured Staphylococcus sp. Its description in RNAcentral is "partial 16S ribosomal RNA". It matches the Rfam family "Bacterial small subunit ribosomal RNA", at positions 109 to 334 of the family's 1533-position model. Lineage: Bacteria; Bacillati; Bacillota; Bacilli; Caryophanales; Staphylococcaceae. The record is from RNAcentral.